This 416-nucleotide ribosomal RNA is filed under the name uncultured bacterium. RNAcentral describes it as "bacterial SSU rRNA". It matches the Rfam family "Bacterial small subunit ribosomal RNA", at positions 30 to 446 of the family's 1533-position model. The record is from RNAcentral.
AUUGAACGCUGGCGGCAUGCUUUACACAUGCAAGUCGAACGGCAGCACGGGGGCAACCCUGGUGGCGAGUGGCGAACGGGUGAGUAAUAUAUCGGAACGUACCCGGAAAUGGGGGAUAACGUAGCGAAAGUUACGCUAAUACCGCAUAUGCCCUAAGGGGGAAAGCGGGGGAUUCGCAAGAACCUCGCGUUUUCGGAGCGGCCGAUAUCGGAUUAGCUAGUAGGUGAGGUAAAGGCUCACCUAGGCGACGAUCCGUAGCUGGUCUGAGAGGACGACCAGCCACACUGGAACUGAGACACGGUCCAGACUCCUACGGGAGGCAGCAGUGGGGAAUUUUGGACAAUGGGCGCAAGCCUGAUCCAGCCAUGCCGCGUGAGUGAAGAAGGCCUUCGGUUGUAAGCUCUUCUAGCCGGAAG